UACGUAGGGGGCUAGCGUUAUCCGGAUUUAUUGGGCGUAAAGAGAACGCAGGCGGUCUUUUAAGUCUGAUGUGAAAGCCUUCGGCUUAACCGGAGUAGUGCAUUGGAAACUGGGAGACUUGAGUGCAGAAGAGGAGAGUGGAACUCCAUGUGUAGCGGUGAAAUGCGUAGAUAUAUGGAAGAACACCAGUGGCGGAAGCGGCUCUCUGGUCUGUAACUGACGCUGAGGUUCGAAAGCGUGGGUAGCAAACAGG
This 253-nucleotide ribosomal RNA is filed under the name uncultured bacterium. RNAcentral describes it as "partial 16S ribosomal RNA". It matches the Rfam family "Bacterial small subunit ribosomal RNA", at positions 524 to 776 of the family's 1533-position model. The record is from RNAcentral.